GACGGCAGCUUAACUGUCGCAGUGCCUUUGAUACUGAAGAACUUGAAUCCACUAGAGGUAGGCGGAAUGUGACAAGUAGCGGUGAAAUGCAUAGAUAUGUCACAGAACACCAAUUGCGAAGGCAGCUUACUAUGGUGGUAUUGACACUGAGGCACGAAAGCGUGGGGAUCAAACAGGAUUAGAUACCCUGGUAGUCCACGCCCUAAACGAUGAAUACUCGAUGUUGGCGAUAUACGGUCAGCGUCUAAGCGAAAGCGUUAAGUAUUCCACCUGGGGA
This 277-nucleotide ribosomal RNA is filed under the name uncultured bacterium. Its description in RNAcentral is "partial 16S ribosomal RNA". It matches the Rfam family "Bacterial small subunit ribosomal RNA", at positions 600 to 879 of the family's 1533-position model. The record is from RNAcentral.